Molecule: ribosomal RNA, 497 nt
Filed under: uncultured bacterium
Lineage: Bacteria
Description: partial 16S ribosomal RNA
Rfam family: Bacterial small subunit ribosomal RNA
Source: RNAcentral
GAUGAACGCUGGCGGCGUGCCUAAUACAUGCAAGUCGAGCGAACGGACGAGAAGCUUGCUUCUCUGAUGUUAGCGGCGGACGGGUGAGUAACACGUGGAUAACCUACCUAUAAGACUGGGAUAACUUCGGGAAACCGUAGCUAAUACCGGAUAAUAUUUUGAACCGCAUGGUUCAAAAGUGAAAGACGGUCUUGCUGUCACUUAUAGAUGGAUCCGCGCUGCAUUUGCUAGUUGGUAAGGUAACGGCUUACCAAGGCAACGAUGCAUAGCCGACCUGAGAGGGUGAUCGGCCACACUGGAACUGAGACACGGUCCAGACUCCUACGGGAGGCAGCAGUAGGGAAUCUUCCGCAAUGGGCGAAAGCCUGACGGAGCAACGCCGCGUGAGUGAUGAAGGUCUUCGGAUCGUAAAACUCUGUUAUUAGGGAAGAACAUAUGUGUAAGUAACUGUGCACAUCUUGACGGUACCUAAUCAGAAAGCCACGGCUAACUACGUG